ACCACCAGGAGUGGAGCCUGCGGCUUAAUUUGACUCAACACGGGGAAACUCACCAGGUCCAGACACAAUAAGGAUUGACAGAUUGAGAGCUCUUUCUUGAUUUUGUGGGUGGUGGUGCAUGGCCGUUCUUAGUUGGUGGAGUGAUUUGUCUGCUUAAUUGCGAUAACGAACGAGACCUUAACCUGCUAAAUAGCCAGGCUAGCUUUGGCUGGUCGCCGGCUUCUUAGAGGGACUAUCGGCUCAAGCCGAUGGAAGUUUGAGGCAAUAACAGGUCUGUGAUGCCCUUAAAUGUUCUGGGCCGCACGCGCGCUACACUGACAGAGCCAACGAGUUCCUUCCUUGUUCGAGAGAUCUGGGUAAUCUUGUUAAACUCUGUCGUGCUGGGGAUAGAGCAUUGCAAUUAUUGCUCUUCAACGAGGAAUUCCUAGUAAGCGCAAGUCAUCAGCUUGCGCUGAUUACGUCCCUGCCCUUUGUACACACCGCCCGUCGCUACUACCGAUUGAAUGGCUAAGUGAGGCUUUCGGACUGGCCCAGGGAGAGUGGCAACGCUCGCCCAGGGCCGGAAAGUUGUCCAAACUUGGUCAUUUAGAGGAAGUAAAA
This 600-nucleotide ribosomal RNA is filed under the name Cystotheca lanestris. Its description in RNAcentral is "SSU rRNA". It matches the Rfam family "Eukaryotic small subunit ribosomal RNA", at positions 1166 to 1787 of the family's 1831-position model. The record is from RNAcentral. Lineage: Eukaryota; Fungi; Ascomycota; Leotiomycetes; Helotiales; Erysiphaceae.